UACAGAGGGUGCGAGCGUUGUCCGGAAUCACUGGGCGUAAAGGGCGCGUAGGCGGCGGGAUAAGCGUGUGGUGAAAGUCCGGGGCUCAACCCCGGAUCGGCCAUGCGAACUGUCUCGCUGGAGCACGGUAGAGGCACAUGGAAUUCCGGGUGUAGCGGUGGAAUGCGUAGAGAUCCGGAAGAACACCGGUGGCGAAGGCGGUGUGCUGGGCCGUAGCUGACGCUGAGGCGCGACAGCGUGGGGAGCAAACAGG
RNAcentral lists this ribosomal RNA (253 nucleotides) under uncultured bacterium. Its description in RNAcentral is "partial 16S ribosomal RNA". It matches the Rfam family "Bacterial small subunit ribosomal RNA", at positions 524 to 776 of the family's 1533-position model. The record is from RNAcentral.